This 450-nucleotide ribosomal RNA is filed under the name uncultured bacterium. RNAcentral's name for it is "partial 16S ribosomal RNA". It matches the Rfam family "Bacterial small subunit ribosomal RNA", at positions 354 to 796 of the family's 1533-position model. The record is from RNAcentral.
GCUAAGAAUAUUCCGCAAUGGACGAAAGUCUGACGGAGCGACGCCGCGUGGAUGAGGAAGGCCGAAAGGUUGUAAAGUCCUUUUGUCGAUGAAGAAUAAGUGGUGGAGGGAAUGCCAUCAUGAUGACGUUAGUCGGCGAAUAAGCCCCGGCUAAUUACGUGCCAGCAGCCGCGGUAACACGUAAGGGGCAAGCGUUGUUCGGAAGUAUUGGGCGUAAAGGGUACGUAGGCGGUUAUGUAAGCCCGGCGUGAAAUCCUGCAGCUUAACUGUAGAGCUGCGCUGGGAGCUGCGUAGCUGGAGUCAUGGAAGGGAAGUUAGAAUUCCAGGUGUAGGGGUGAAAUCUGUAGAUAUCUGGAAGAAUACCGGUGGCGAAGGCGAACUUCUGGCCAAUGACUGACGCUGAGGUACGAAAGUGCGGGGAGCAAACAGGAUUAGAAACCCCUGUAGUCC